GUCCGACUUUGUUGCCCAACCUUAUAGACGUGCCUGACCAUUCUCUUACCCAUAAAAUUAUGAACCUUCAGUCCAAAAAUCAACUAGAAAUGAAUCGGGACGAGUUGGCAAUUGAGGUAUUACCGAACGCCUAGUCGGUUGGAAAAUGGUGAUUUCGGCUGCUACAGUGCUCAUUUCAGAAAACGUGCUGCACCGCAUUGAUCAACACAAUAUUCUGCACAAUCUUAGAAAAUUUCAUAAUUUUCUGAGCAAGUCCAAUUUUGGCCAAAAUUCGAGGCCAACAGCAGCCGGCCAGCGAUCAUCUGGUAGCCCUUGGACGACUUUUGUUCAAAAUGCUCAACCAGUUAAUUUGAGUUCAUUUUUUUCAUCGAUUUUCCCACAUGAGGCACAAACAGCACUAAACCAAGGUCGGAUGACCUAUGCCACUGUAGUUUCUAGUCGUCCGGGGUUGACUCAGGUUGAGAGAAAUUCACGAAAAUCAUUUGCAUCAGUUUUACAAGCUAUCGAUGACUCUUUGAAUGCUGGGUUCACUACCAAGGAACCAUUUACUCAUUUGGGCAAGCCGACAAUUGAGUUAACCGAUUAGAAGGAGGUUCUUUUGGCCGAUCCCAAUAAGUACACACUUGUAGGAAAAUUUUCCCACCAAAAGUCGACCAUUUAGAAGGUACGCGAGAACUUUUUUAUGUUUAGUUUUCAUGGUUUCUUUGAGAAGGGAUUAAUUGACAAUGCACAUAUACUGAUCCAUUUUACUUAUUAGGAAUACUACAGUAGGCUCUUCCUUAAGCCACUUUAGUAUAUUGAUAGAUGUCCUAUGAGGGUCCUUAAGUGGACUUGUGAUUUCAGACCAGAGUAGGAGACUCUGAUUGUUCCCGUUUGGAUUUCAUUUCCUUUGCUUUCGGUACAUUUGCGUGCCAACUUGCUUUAUCUAGGGCAAUAGGAAUGCCCUUGAGGAUCGAUGAGGCCACCUCAGAUUUGUGACGACCUAGUGAGGCUAGGAUGUGUAUAGAAGUGAAUCUGGGGCUUAAGUUACCCGAUAGAGUAUGGAUUGAGCAAGGUGGUAACCACGACUUUUAGCAGGCAAUCUAUAUGAGAGGGGACUGACAUUUUAUUUUUCUUGUAAACACUUCGACCAUCCAUCUGAUCAGUGUACUUCGAAGGUACCACCAUCUCCUCCAGUUGUUGUGCCGCCACUAGUUCAGCCCCCUUUCUACCGAGACUGGCACUAAUAGGGUUGAGAAGGGUAAAGGCAAUGUUACUUUCAUUCAGCCAAUGAGGCGGAGGGUACCAGUUUCGGUAGUGCCUCAUAUGCUUCACUAACCCUAUUGCAGUUGUGGCAGAGUCAACUACUGCAUCAACAAAUCCUACCCUAAUUCGUACCACAAGUACUACAGGGGUAACACCAAUUGUUCUCCUAGUCAAACAGUCUACACCAGAGAUCCCUCCCAUCGUCCAUGAGAGCACCCCAAGGAUUCUUAUUCAAAAUCAGACAGUUGCUCCCUUUGUGGUUGAGGAUACGACAGAGAUAGCACUUAUUGAUCAACCACUUGCUGAGCCUACUCUAGAGGCUCCUAUUGAGAUCGAUUCCCAGGUCUCUCAUUCACCACAGAUGUCAGGUACCAGCGGUACAUUGAGGGGCUUGAAGGCUAAGCCUUAGGCGAAUCAAAUGUUGAUCAACCACUUCAAGAAGACCAAUGGCAUCAAAAUGGGAGCUUCCAUGAGAGAUGCGAUUGAUGACCUAGUUGGCAAGCUCUUCAAUGACAAAUCAUCACCUAGCCCUACCAUCACGCCUAGACAGGAUAAGUUGGAUGCUCAAAUUCAGAGUGACAUGAAUGGCAUGGGUCUCGAAAAUUGCGGAAAGAAUAAUAAUAUAGAUGUACCUUCAGUUAGCGAGUCACUCCCACAUGCGUUAGAUAUUGUAGCACCUGUGAAGAUCACCAUGAGAUCAUCACCUGCUUUUUG
This 1959-nucleotide long non-coding RNA is filed under the name Olea europaea subsp. europaea. Lineage: Eukaryota; Viridiplantae; Streptophyta; Magnoliopsida; Lamiales; Oleaceae. The record is from RNAcentral.